ACGCUCACUUCAGUAGCACAUGCACUGAGACUGGAACCAUACAGAGAAGACUGGCAUGGCUCUUGCACAAGGACGGCUCAUAAACUUGUGAAGCGUUCCAUAUUUUU
Molecule: small nuclear RNA, 107 nt
Filed under: Bos grunniens (domestic yak)
Lineage: Eukaryota; Metazoa; Chordata; Mammalia; Artiodactyla; Bovidae
Source: RNAcentral